CAAUAGCGUAUAUUUAAGUUGUUGCAGUUAAAAAGCUCGUAGUUGGAUUUCGGGUGGGACGCAGCGGUCUCGCAUUGCGUUUGUACUGCUGCAGCCCUCCUUCUUGCCGGGGGCGGCCUCUCGGACUUCACUGUCUGGGGGUCAGAAUCGGCGAUGUUACUUUGAGUAAAUUAGAGUGUUCAAAGCAAGCUUACGCUCUGAAUAUAAUAGCAUGGGAUAACACGACAGGACUCUGGCCUAUCGUGUUGGUCUAUAGGACCAGAGUAAUGAUUAAGAGGGACAGUCGGGGGCAUUCGUAUUCCGUUGUCAGAGGUGAAAUUCUUGGAUUUACGGAAGACGAACAUCUGCGAAAGCAUCUGCCAAGGAUGUUUNCAUUGA
RNAcentral lists this ribosomal RNA (378 nucleotides) under uncultured eukaryote. RNAcentral's name for it is "partial 18S ribosomal RNA". It matches the Rfam family "Eukaryotic small subunit ribosomal RNA", at positions 592 to 976 of the family's 1831-position model. The record is from RNAcentral.